Sinocyclocheilus grahami is the source of this 581-nucleotide long non-coding RNA. RefSeq lists it as uncharacterized. The transcript is spliced from 3 exons. The record is from RefSeq and is a predicted model, not a curated record. NCBI's taxonomy places the organism in Eukaryota, Metazoa, Chordata, Actinopteri, Cypriniformes, Cyprinidae.
UUAUUCCUCUCAAAUCACGAUCGCAAACUGGAGCCGAGAUGGUGUCAAGCCUUAGGACUGGGGCAGGUGGUCUCAAAACACACCGUCUCCCGUGAAAAGGUUGCAUUCAUUUAUCAGUAACGUGAAAAAUCUGCAUCAGUCAGGGAUAUUGUGGAUAUCUGUCUACACCGCUGAGAUGACAGAGGUGGAGCCGGUGUUGGAUUUUGCCUCAUCGGGCCGCUCUGGCCGUCGCAACGCACUGCCUGACAUCCUGGGGUCUCCUGUUGGAGUCCCGCCUGACCUGUCUCUUAAACUGGCAGAACUAUCCCUCACAGACGGUCCAGGUGAUGCUCAGUCCCCGUCUACGGAGGAACCCCCCACUCCUACAGAGAGCCCAGAGGUGAAGGAUGGUUCCUAGGUGGCUGAGUCUAUGCCUAAACCACAGAGAUGGGGCCUCAACAGCCCCCGCCUUUCCCCUGGAGCUCAUCCUCUACCGACUGUUCCUGAUGCCUGUCAGACUGCAUUAUAGGAAGCAACAGAGGGCAGCUAAAAUGUGAAAUGAAGGACAAGGUCUUCAAAGGGUUUGUGCAAUGAAAAAAAAA